AUGAUGAUAUUGCAAUCAAUUGCGAUGAAUGGGAGAUUAAAUAUACACUGACGGAUUUAUGAUCAAAAGGCGACAAAUUUUGCGAUGGAUUAGCGAUCGACUUAAUAUCCGUCGCUAAUUCUAGUGCUAAUAAUUUCCGCCAGUUUGGUUUUGAUUUUGCGACCGUAUUGAGACCACUUUGCGAUCGAUUUUGAGAUGGAUUUGCCACCGUUUAAAAUCUUGUUGCAAAAUUGCGCGCUGCAGGACUUUAUACACCCUUGGUCACCUUGCGCGAGCGCAACACCUCCUUCUUUCCCCUUCUACUCUUUGUCGCAGCCGUUCCUAGCCCAGUCGCCUCCUUCUCCGCUCUGUUGAAGCGCCGGUGGCUGGAGAAGCCGUUGUCGACGGAGAUUGUUCCUCCUCCUUCGUUCACAUUCGCCUAGUCAGAAGGUGGGAGGCCAAAGAAGCUAAUGAUGGGAAUGUGUUUCAAUAGAUCCUCCGAAUCAUUGGUCUAGUGUCUCACCCAAGUGUCUAUGAGGCUGAGGCUUCUCAUGCUCCUCAACUGUUGAUAAAUGCAAGGGGAGGUCAAGGAGCUAGAUGAGUUGGUUUUACCAAGGUUUUCGAAAAUACAUAUAAUCUGAAGUUGUGCGUAGACGCUGAAUUUUUAUCUUAAUUACGGCUCAGUAAUGAUAAAAGAUUUUAAGUAAAUUUUGAGUCUCAGAUGUACAAUUAUUUUCGAUUUCUAUUUCAAUCAUGUGAGUUUAAAUGUUAGAAUUUAUCGAACUCCUUUGUUGUGACUGGAUUUCUCGGGCCCUGCAUCGAGACAGUGUCAAGAGUGGUAUGGAAUUUUCUAUUAUGCAUCCCGCCACACUGGUUCAUUUUGCGUGCCAAGUGGAUUAGGUCUUCGGGUCCCAUUAAUCCAUAGAGCCCAUUAAAGAUUUUAUGGUACUAAGCCUUAAGCUUAAGGUUUAAUUUCUCAUUUUUCUUAUAAACUAGUUGUAUCUCCGCACAUUGUGCGGGUUAAUAGU
Jatropha curcas is the source of this 1007-nucleotide long non-coding RNA. RefSeq lists it as uncharacterized. NCBI's taxonomy places the organism in Eukaryota, Viridiplantae, Streptophyta, Magnoliopsida, Malpighiales, Euphorbiaceae. The record is from RefSeq and is a predicted model, not a curated record.